GAUGAACGCUGACAGAAUGCUUAACACAUGCAAGUCUUUGGCGAAUCUGUGCUUGCACAGGCUAGCCAAGGCGGACGGGUGAGUAACGCGUAAAGAACUUGCCCUGCGGACAGGGAUAACAGACGGAAACGACUGAUAACACCUGAUACAGUUGCCGGCACGCAUGUGCCUGGCAAUGAAAAGAGAUGCUGCAGGAGAGCUUUGCGUCCUAUUAGCUUGUUGGUGAGGUGACGGCUCACCAAGGCGAUGAUAGGUAGCCGGCCUGAGAGGGUGAACGGCCACAAGGGGACUGAGAUACGGCCCUUACUCCUACGGGAGGCAGCAGUGGGGAAUAUUGGACAAUGGGGGCAACCCUGAUCCAGCAAUUCUGUGUGCACGAAGAAGGUUUUCGGAUUGUAAAGUGCUUUCAGCAGGGAAGAAGAAAGUGACGGUACCUGCAGAAGAAGCGACGGCUAAAUACGUG
RNAcentral lists this ribosomal RNA (463 nucleotides) under uncultured bacterium. RNAcentral's name for it is "partial 16S ribosomal RNA". It matches the Rfam family "Bacterial small subunit ribosomal RNA", at positions 28 to 507 of the family's 1533-position model. The record is from RNAcentral.